This 202-nucleotide long non-coding RNA is filed under the name Capsicum annuum. Its description in RNAcentral is "long non-coding RNA (CANN_LNC016881)". The record is from RNAcentral. Lineage: Eukaryota; Viridiplantae; Streptophyta; Magnoliopsida; Solanales; Solanaceae.
CCCAAACAAAGGGCCUUUCAGAACUUAAUACAUACUUGAGUUGAGCCCAUGUGUCUAGCAGUUCUAACCGUGAAGAAGGACGCCCUUUUUCUCAAUUUUAACGGGCUUAAAGAUUCACGGCUUGCUAGACGUAGUCACUAAGACAAAGCCAACAAAAACAGUAUCAACUUCGACUGUACCACUAUUUUGAAACCAUAACAAC